This 253-nucleotide ribosomal RNA is filed under the name uncultured bacterium. RNAcentral describes it as "partial 16S ribosomal RNA". It matches the Rfam family "Bacterial small subunit ribosomal RNA", at positions 524 to 776 of the family's 1533-position model. The record is from RNAcentral.
UACGAAGGGGGCGAGCGUUGUUCGGAUUUACUGGGCGUAAAGGGCGCGUAGGCGGCCCUCCUAGUCGCGUGUGAAAGCCCCGGGCUCAACCUGGGAAUUGCGCGCGAAACGGGGGGGCUUGAGUUCGGGAGAGGAUGGCGGAAUUCCCAGUGUAGAGGUGAAAUUCGUAGAUAUUGGGAAGAACACCGGUGGCGAAGGCGGCCUUCUGGACAGUGACUGACGCUGAGACGCGAAAGCGUGGGGAGCAAACAGG